Molecule: non-coding RNA, 115 nt
Filed under: Palpitomonas bilix
Lineage: Eukaryota
Source: RNAcentral
GGAGACGAAGAGGAAAAGGGAGACGAAGAGGAAAAGGGAGACGAAGAGGAAAAUGGAAAGGGAGAAGGAGAAGGAGAAGACGAGAAAGACAAAGAGGAAGACGAAGAGGAAGAGG